RNAcentral lists this ribosomal RNA (232 nucleotides) under Salmonella enterica subsp. enterica serovar Heidelberg. RNAcentral's name for it is "partial 23S ribosomal RNA". It matches the Rfam family "Bacterial large subunit ribosomal RNA", at positions 2711 to 2925 of the family's 2925-position model. RNAcentral also lists the same sequence under 2 other names. Lineage: Bacteria; Pseudomonadati; Pseudomonadota; Gammaproteobacteria; Enterobacterales; Enterobacteriaceae. The record is from RNAcentral.
GGUGUUCGGGUUGUCAUGCCAAUGGCACUGCCCGGUAGCUAAAUGCGGAAGAGAUAAGUGCUGAAAGCAUCUAAGCACGAAACUUGCCCCGAGAUGAGUUCUCCCUGAGACUUAGAGUCUCCUGAAGGAACGUUGAAGACGACGACGUUGAUAGGCCGGGUGUGUAAGCGCAGCGAUGCGUUGAGCUAACCGGUACUAAUGAACCGUGAGGCUUAACCUUACAACGCCGAAG